Molecule: long non-coding RNA, 302 nt
Organism: Ochotona princeps (American pika)
Lineage: Eukaryota; Metazoa; Chordata; Mammalia; Lagomorpha; Ochotonidae
Exons: 3
Source: RefSeq, a predicted model, not a curated record
AGAUUUGGAAAGCAGCAUGACACAGAGAGAUCUUCCAUCCACUGCUUUACUACCCAAAUGGCUAAAACAGCCAGGACUGAGCAAAAUCAGACAGGAACUAAGAACUUCACCUGGGACUCCCAUGGUUUUUUUCAGAAGGGCAAGGAGAAUUGACCACAGACCCUGAAUGCCCAGUGGAUCUUCUUUCUGGAGUGCAACAAUAAAUGGUCAUGAAUUUACUUAUAUACUUCUACAAAAAUCAUUCCCUGAUUCACAAAACUUGCCAUUUCAAAGAGGACAUCCAAUGUUAUAUGAAGAUUCUG